This 1658-nucleotide ribosomal RNA is filed under the name Salmonella enterica. RNAcentral's name for it is "partial 23S ribosomal RNA". It matches the Rfam family "Bacterial large subunit ribosomal RNA", at positions 1161 to 2802 of the family's 2925-position model. Lineage: Bacteria; Pseudomonadati; Pseudomonadota; Gammaproteobacteria; Enterobacterales; Enterobacteriaceae. The record is from RNAcentral. RNAcentral also lists the same sequence under 1 other name.
GCGCGGAAGAUGUAACGGGGCUAAACCAUGCACCGAAGCUGCGGCAGCGACACUGUGUGUUGUUGGGUAGGGGAGCGUUCUGUAAGCCUGUGAAGGUGUGUCGUGAGGCAUGCUGGAGGUAUCAGAAGUGCGAAUGCUGACAUAAGUAACGAUAAAGCGGGUGAAAAGCCCGCUCGCCGGAAGACCAAGGGUUCCUGUCCAACGUUAAUCGGGGCAGGGUGAGUCGACCCCUAAGGCGAGGCCGAAAGGCGUAGUCGAUGGGAAACGGGUUAAUAUUCCCGUACUUGGUGUUACUGCGAAGGGGGGACGGAGAAGGCUAUGUUGGCCGGGCGACGGUUGUCCCGGUUUAAGCGUGUAGGUGUGUGUUCCAGGUAAAUCCGGUUCACUUUAACACUGAGGCGUGACGACGAGGCACUACGGUGCUGAAGCAACAAAUGCCCUGCUUCCAGGAAAAGCCUCUAAGCAUCAGGUAACAUCAAAUCGUACCCCAAACCGACACAGGUGGUCAGGUAGAGAAUACCAAGGCGCUUGAGAGAACUCGGGUGAAGGAACUAGGCAAAAUGGUGCCGUAACUUCGGGAGAAGGCACGCUGACACGUAGGUGAAGUGAUUUACUCAUGGAGCUGAAGUCAGUCGAAGAUACCAGCUGGCUGCAACUGUUUAUUAAAAACACAGCACUGUGCAAACACGAAAGUGGACGUAUACGGUGUGACGCCUGCCCGGUGCCGGAAGGUUAAUUGAUGGGGUCAGCGCAAGCGAAGCUCCUGAUCGAAGCCCCGGUAAACGGCGGCCGUAACUAUAACGGUCCUAAGGUAGCGAAAUUCCUUGUCGGGUAAGUUCCGACCUGCACGAAUGGCGUAAUGAUGGCCAGGCUGUCUCCACCCGAGACUCAGUGAAAUUGAACUCGCUGUGAAGAUGCAGUGUACCCGCGGCAAGACGGAAAGACCCCGUGAACCUUUACUAUAGCUUGACACUGAACAUUGAGCCUUGAUGUGUAGGAUAGGUGGGAGGCUUUGAAGUGUGGACGCCAGUCUGCAUGGAGCCGACCUUGAAAUACCACCCUUUAAUGUUUGAUGUUCUAACGUGGACCCGUUACCCGGGUUGCGGACAGUGUCUGGUGGGUAGUUUGACUGGGGCGGUCUCCUCCUAAAGAGUAACGGAGGAGCACGAAGGUUGGCUAAUCCUGGUCGGACAUCAGGAGGUUAGUGCAAUGGCAUAAGCCAGCUUGACUGCGAGCGUGACGGCGCGAGCAGGUGCGAAAGCAGGUCAUAGUGAUCCGGUGGUUCUGAAUGGAAGGGCCAUCGCUCAACGGAUAAAAGGUACUCCGGGGAUAACAGGCUGAUACCGCCCAAGAGUUCAUAUCGACGGCGGUGUUUGGCACCUCGAUGUCGGCUCAUCACAUCCUGGGGCUGAAGUAGGUCCCAAGGGUAUGGCUGUUCGCCAUUUAAAGUGGUACGCGAGCUGGGUUUAGAACGUCGUGAGACAGUUCGGUCCCUAUCUGCCGUGGGCGCUGGAGAACUGAGGGGGGCUGCUCCUAGUACGAGAGGACCGGAGUGGACGCAUCACUGGUGUUCGGGUUGUCAUGCCAAUGGCACUGCCCGGUAGCUAAAUGCGGAAGAGAUAAGUGCUGAAAGCAUCUAAGCACGAAACUUGCCCCGA